CGACCCCAGGUCAGGCGGGACUCACCCGCUGAGUUUA
This 37-nucleotide ribosomal RNA is filed under the name Nymphoides crenata. RNAcentral describes it as "partial 26S ribosomal RNA". Lineage: Eukaryota; Viridiplantae; Streptophyta; Magnoliopsida; Asterales; Menyanthaceae. The record is from RNAcentral.